RNAcentral lists this non-coding RNA (299 nucleotides) under Macaca mulatta (Rhesus monkey). The record is from RNAcentral. Lineage: Eukaryota; Metazoa; Chordata; Mammalia; Primates; Cercopithecidae.
GCUGGGCGUGGUGGCGCACGCCUGUAAUCCCAGUUACUCGGGAGGCUGAGGCAGGAGACUCGCUUGAACGUGGGAGGUGGAGGUUGCACUGAGCCGAGAUCAUGCCAUUACCCUCUAGCCGGGGCAACAAGAGCAAAACGCUGUCUUUAAAAAAAAAAAAAAUGCCUGUUUUUCUUGUUGUUUGUUUGUUUAUUUAUUGAGAUGGAAUUUCAUUCUUGUCGCCCAGGCUGGAAUGCAGUGCACAAUCUCGGCUCACUGCAACCUCUGCCUCCCGGGUUCAAGUGAGUCUCCUGCCUCAG